Long non-coding RNA from Medicago truncatula (barrel medic), 584 nucleotides. RefSeq lists it as uncharacterized. The record is from RefSeq and is a predicted model, not a curated record. The transcript is spliced from 3 exons. NCBI's taxonomy places the organism in Eukaryota, Viridiplantae, Streptophyta, Magnoliopsida, Fabales, Fabaceae.
AAGAAAUAGAAGGUGCGUAAUACACAUUUCAUUCCCACACUUUUUUUUCUCCAAAAAUUUCACUCCACUUUCACAAGCCACGCCAGAACACCCCACUCCUUCUUUCAAUCUUUCAUCCCAUCAAAAAACCCCAAAAUCAGUUUCAUCUUUCUUCCCCAAAGUCAUGGCUUUCUUCAGAAAACUUAAUCGCAUCUUUCUUCCCUAAACCCUAAUCCCCAAAUUAGUUUGUUACCAUCCUCUGCUGUAAGCUUUCUCAAUCAGUUCGAAUUCGCCGCACCAGUUCGAUUCGCCAUACACACAAUCUACUGAGCUUUUUGUCCCUCACGAUUUGAAGAUGUGAAGUCUGCACUUGGGGUUCGAUUAACAGCUUUCUCGCUUUUUCCUUUGUCGAUUUUUGGUUUUGGUAAGCUUUCUCCUUUCUCAUGUAAUUUGUUUUCUUUUGAUUAUUAGUUUUUUAGCGUAUAAAGUUGGUGAAUUUUGAUAUUUCAUGCUAUUUGUUUAUUAUAGUAAAAUGAUUUGUAUCGUGGAUUGAAAUGUUGGAAUAUGUACUUGGCAUGAAUGAAGAGAAACUUGAGCCAUUUUAG